Molecule: long non-coding RNA, 218 nt
Filed under: Carica papaya (papaya)
Lineage: Eukaryota; Viridiplantae; Streptophyta; Magnoliopsida; Brassicales; Caricaceae
Description: long non-coding RNA (CPAP_LNC005908)
Source: RNAcentral
AAGAUUUUGAAUUUUAUCUCCCAUUUUAAUCAAUCCAUACCUUGCCAAAUAUAACAAAAUAGGGGCAUGAUUGAACCCAUACCUUGCCAAAUGUUGCAAAGGGUAUUUAGGGAAAAGUGGCAUCCAUUAUGGUGUAAAUAGAAAUAUCACAAAGUGUUCCCGAAUAUUUUCCUAACUAAAAUCCACCGAUCCACAUAAAUCCAUAGCUGUUUAAAAGG